UGGGGAAUAUUGCGCAAUGGGCGAAAGCCUGACGCAGCGACGCCGCGUGAGGGAUGAAGGUUUUCGGAUCGUAAACCUCUGUCAGAAGGGAAGAAACCGCACUGUGCUAAUCAGCAGUGCCUUGACGGUACCUUCAAAGGAAGCACCGGCUAACUCCGUGCCAGCAGCCGCGGUAAUACGGAGGGUGCAAGCGUUAAUCGGAAUUACUGGGCGUAAAGCGCACGUAGGCUGCUUUGUAAGUCAGGGGUGAAAUCCCACGGCUCAACCGUGGAACUGCCUUUGAUACUGCUUAGCUUGAAUCCGGGAGAGGGUGGCGGAAUUCCAGGUGUAGGGGUGAAAUCCGUAGAUAUCUGGAGGAACAUCAGUGGCGAAGGCGGCCACCUGGACCGGUAUUGACGCUGAGGUGCUAAAGCGUGGGGAGCAAACAGG
RNAcentral lists this ribosomal RNA (429 nucleotides) under Fusobacteriota bacterium. RNAcentral describes it as "Fusobacteria bacterium partial 16S ribosomal RNA". It matches the Rfam family "Bacterial small subunit ribosomal RNA", at positions 355 to 776 of the family's 1533-position model. Lineage: Bacteria; Fusobacteriati; Fusobacteriota. The record is from RNAcentral.